AUAAGUACAAACCUUCAUAAGGUGAAACCGCGAACGGCUCAUUAUAACAGCUAUAAUUUACUAGACCUUGAGCAACUACUUGGAUACCUGUGGUAAUUCUAGAGCUAAUACAUGCACCGAAGUUGUUCCUCACGGAGCAAUGCAUUUAUUUGAGCAAAACCAGGCGGCUUCGGCCGUUUCUGUUGAUUCAGAAUAACUAAGCUGAUCGCAUGGGCUUGUCCCGGCGACGUGUCUUUCAAGUGUCUGCCUUAUCAACUUUCGAUGGUAGUGUACGUGACUACCAUGGUGUUGACGGGUAACGGAGGAUAAGGGUUCGACUCCGGAGAAGGGGCCUGAGAAAUGGCCACUACGUCUAAGGAUGGCAGCAGGCGCGCAAAUUACCCACUCUCAGUUCGAGGAGGUAGUGACGAAAAAUAACAAGGCCGUUCUCUUUGAGGCCGGCCAUUGGAAUGGGUACAACUUAAACCCUUUAACGAGUAUCAAUGAGAGGGCAAGUCUGGUGCCAGCAGCCGCGGUAAUUCCAGCUCUCAAAAUGCAUAGAACCAUUGCUGCGGUUAAAAAGCUCGUAGUUGGAUCUGUGCCGGCGACGUGGUCCGCCCUAACCGGCGGUACUGCGCUCGUCGGCUUUGGGCCGGUCUUCGGUCGGUCGCCUUCACUGGCGGCCGCUCGUGGCUGGCUGGUUUACUUUGAGCAAAUCAGAGUGCUCAGCACAGGCGUCUCGCCGGAAUGUUCGUGCAUGGAAUAAUAGAAAAGGAUUUCGGUUCUCUUUUAUUGGUUUUGUGAACUGAGAUAAUGGUUAACAGAGACGGACGGGGGCAUUCGUAUUGCUGCGUGAGAGGUGAAAUUCUUGGACCGCAGCAGGACGGACUACAGCG
This 875-nucleotide ribosomal RNA is filed under the name Paratylenchus sp. B PRS-2020. Its description in RNAcentral is "SSU rRNA". It matches the Rfam family "Eukaryotic small subunit ribosomal RNA", at positions 59 to 947 of the family's 1831-position model. The record is from RNAcentral. Lineage: Eukaryota; Metazoa; Nematoda; Chromadorea; Rhabditida; Tylenchulidae.